CCUACGGGUGGCAGCAGUGAGGAAUAUUGGUCAAUGGACGGAAGUCUGAACCAGCCAUGCCGCGUGCAGGAUGACGGCUCUAUGAGUUGUAAACUGCUUUUGUACGAGAAUAAUAGUUCUUACGUGUAGGGAUUUGAAUGUAUCGUACGAAUAAGGAUCGGCUAACUCCGUGCCAGCAGCCGCGGUAAUACGGAGGAUUCGAGCGUUAUCCGGAUUUAUUGGGUUUAAAGGGUGCGUAGGCGGGCUGUUAAGUCAGCGGUCAAAUGUCGGGGCUCAACCCCGGCCUGCCGUUGAAACUGGCGGCCUCGAGUGGGCGAGAAGUAUGCGGAAUGCGUGGUGUAGCGGUGAAAUGCAUAGAUAUCACGCAGAACUCCGAUUGCGAAGGCAGCAUACCGGCGCCCGACUGACGCUGAGGCACGAAAGCGUGGGUAUCGAACAGGAUUAGAUACCCUUGUAGUC
Molecule: ribosomal RNA, 459 nt
Filed under: uncultured bacterium
Lineage: Bacteria
Description: partial 16S ribosomal RNA
Rfam family: Bacterial small subunit ribosomal RNA
Source: RNAcentral